GUACACACCGCCCGUCGCUCCUACUGAUUGAAUGAUCUGGUGAAGUGUUCGGAUUGCGUCGAUGAUUGUGGUUCACCGUCGUCGAUGUCGUGAGAUGUUCAUUGAACCUUAUCAUUUAGAGGAAGGAGAAGUCGUAACAAGGUUACCGUAGGUGAACCUGCAGAAGGAUCA
This 171-nucleotide ribosomal RNA is filed under the name uncultured eukaryote. Its description in RNAcentral is "partial small subunit ribosomal RNA". It matches the Rfam family "Eukaryotic small subunit ribosomal RNA", at positions 1662 to 1828 of the family's 1831-position model. The record is from RNAcentral.